UGUCCCUGUCCUGGGUAGGGUGGCAUCUAUCUGGUGGUGUCCAUUUCAUAUCAGCCAGAGACAAAGCAAUUCCUUGUUUAUCCCCUUGGCUUUAGGCCUAUGCCCAUGUUUGAUUCAUGCCUUGGAUAUAUAG
This is a small nucleolar RNA of Erinaceus europaeus (western European hedgehog), 133 nucleotides long. The record is from Ensembl. Lineage: Eukaryota; Metazoa; Chordata; Mammalia; Eulipotyphla; Erinaceidae.